This is an RNA transcript of Mus musculus (house mouse), 1152 nucleotides long. It is a transcript of the gene named S100 calcium binding protein A6 (calcyclin), with no coding region annotated. The transcript has 4 exons. Lineage: Eukaryota; Metazoa; Chordata; Mammalia; Rodentia; Muridae. The record is from RefSeq and is marked validated.
AUCCCCUCGACCACUCCUUUGGCGCUUCGCUGUCGACCGUGCGCUUCUUCUAGCCCAGUGAUCAGUCAUGGCAUGCCCUCUGGAUCAGGCCAUUGGCCUUCUCGUGGCCAUCUUCCACAAGUACUCUGGCAAGGAAGGUGACAAGCACACCCUGAGCAAGAAGGAGCUGAAGGAGUUGAUCCAGAAGGAGCUCACCAUUGGCUCCAAGCUGCAGGAUGCUGAAAUUGCAAGGCUGAUGGAUGAUCUGGACCGUAACAAGGAUCAGGAAGUAAACUUCCAGGAGUAUGUCGCCUUCCUGGGGGCCUUGGCUUUGAUCUACAAUGAAGCUCUGAAAUAAAAUGGGACCGUUGAGAUGACUUCCGGGGGCCUCUCUCGGUCAAAUCCAGUGGUUUGACACAUUUUCCCUGAUUGAUGCUAUCUUUUUCACCUUAUUGGCAUACCCACAUCCAACCAGUCAGGCCCAGCUGGCACCCUGGCACUUCUAUGAAUCCUCGAUUCCAGAGCUGCUGUAGGAGCCCACCAGGGAAGAACAGAAGGAAGACUUCAAAGCCUGCUCCCUGGCCCUGGCCUGCAGCUGUGCUCCAGAUGUCCCUGGUUUCUUCAGAAGUUCUUCCUGAAGACUUAAGUGUCUGGCUUUUAGCUGGCUUGCUCAUUGAAGAAGGAAGAGUGCCUUCCAUAAUCACCAGGGACACAGAGAGGAAGGUCCUUGGGUCUUAGGCAGGAAGCUUGCUGGAUUCCGGGACUUGAGCAGCUGCAGGUGGGGGACCUGUGCGCAUCUCAUCCUUCAAGGCUCCCCUUGCCUGGUGGGCUAUGGAAGGGAAUUUUCUUCUGCAACUGUUUGUACUCUCUGAGACUUGGCUUCUAAGCCUGGAAGCCCCAAACGUUCAGAUCUUGACACUUGAGAGACCUGUGACUCCAGCUUUGGACACCUGUUGUUCCAGAGACCUUCCACUCCUGCCUUCUGGAGACAGAAGACUUGCUGCUUCUGUUAUUCCCACUGCUGACCUGCAGGGUUGCUCUGCAAGGCUCUGCUCUUUAUUGGCACUCAAAGGACUCCAGCCUUUGAGGUCAGAGUUAGCAUGGACACCUGUUUCAACUUUUAUCUCAUUUAAAGGGAACGAACAAUAAAGUACCCCCAGUUUGUGCUCUUCA